This 86-nucleotide transfer RNA is filed under the name Candidatus Omnitrophota bacterium. RNAcentral describes it as "tRNA-Leu". It matches the Rfam family "tRNA". From Rfam's summary of the family: Transfer RNA (tRNA) molecules are approximately 80 nucleotides in length. Their secondary structure includes four short double-helical elements and three loops (D, anti-codon, and T loops). Lineage: Bacteria; Pseudomonadati; Candidatus Omnitrophota. The record is from RNAcentral.
GCUGGAGUGGCGGAAUGGCUUACGCGCUGGUCUCAAAAACCAGUAACCGCAAGGUUGUGUGGGUUCGAGUCCCACCUCCAGCACCA